Molecule: ribosomal RNA, 497 nt
Filed under: uncultured bacterium
Lineage: Bacteria
Description: partial 16S ribosomal RNA
Rfam family: Bacterial small subunit ribosomal RNA
Source: RNAcentral
GAUGAACGCUGGCGGCGUGCCUAAUACAUGCAAGUCGAGCGAAAGGACGAGGAGCUUGCUUCGCGGAUGUUAGCGGCGGGGGGGUGAAUCACGCGUGGAUAACCUACCUAUAUGACUGGGAUCACUUCGAGAAACCGGCGCUAAUAGCGUAGGAUAUUUUGCAGCACGUGGUUGAAAAGUGAGAUACGGUCUUGCUGGCUCUACUCGCUGGAUCUGGGCUGCAUUAGGUAGUUGGGAAGGUAACGGCUUACCAAGGCAACGAUGCAUAGCCGACCGGCGAGGGGGAUCGGCCACACUGGAACUGAGACACGGUCCAGACUCCUAAGGGAGGCAGCAGUAGGGAAUCUUAGGCAAUGGGCGAAAGCCUGACGGAGCAACGCCGCGUGAGUGAUGAAGGUCUUCGGAUCGUAAAACUCUGUUAUUAGGGAAGAACAUAUGUGGAAGGAACUGUGCACAUCUUGACGGUACCUAAUCAGAAAGCCACGGCUAACUACGUG